UCUCCGUUGGUGAACCAGCGGAGGGAUCAUUACCGAGUUAUCAACUCCCAAACCCCUGUGAACAUACCCAACGCUGCUUCGGCGGGACCGCCCCGGCGCCCUCGGCGUCCCGGAACCAGGCGCCCGCCGGAGGACCCAAACUCUUGUUUAAACCAUAGUGGCAUAUUCUGAGUCUCACAAGAAAAAUGAAUCAAAACUUUCAACAACGGAUCUCUUGGCUCUG
Molecule: unclassified non-coding RNA, 223 nt
Filed under: plant metagenome
Description: partial contains small subunit ribosomal RNA, internal transcribed spacer 1, and 5.8S ribosomal RNA
Source: RNAcentral